AGUCGACGGGUCGCUCCUCCCACUCUUCACGUCGACUGUUCCCCUCUGGAGGUCAUAACCUUCAGCAUUGGCCGGACUUUUUAAGUCCGGCCUUU
This 95-nucleotide small RNA is filed under the name Paramesorhizobium deserti. RNAcentral's name for it is "Alphaproteobacterial ar15". It matches the Rfam family "Alphaproteobacterial ar15". The record is from Rfam by way of RNAcentral. Lineage: Bacteria; Pseudomonadati; Pseudomonadota; Alphaproteobacteria; Hyphomicrobiales; Phyllobacteriaceae.